GGGCCGGUAGCUCAGUUUGGCUAGAGCGCCGACAUGGCAUGUCGGAGGUCGUGGGUUCAAGUCCCAUCCGGUCCACCA
RNAcentral lists this transfer RNA (78 nucleotides) under Candidatus Berkelbacteria bacterium. Its description in RNAcentral is "tRNA-Ala". It matches the Rfam family "tRNA". From Rfam's summary of the family: Transfer RNA (tRNA) molecules are approximately 80 nucleotides in length. Their secondary structure includes four short double-helical elements and three loops (D, anti-codon, and T loops). Further hydrogen bonds mediate the characteristic L-shaped molecular structure. tRNAs have two regions of fundamental functional importance: the anti-codon, which is responsible for specific mRNA codon recognition, and the 3' end, to which the tRNAs corresponding amino acid is attached (by aminoacyl-tRNA synthetases). tRNAs cope with the degeneracy of the genetic code in two manners: having more than one tRNA (with a specific anti-codon) for a particular amino acid; and 'wobble' base-pairing, i.e. permitting non-standard base-pairing at the 3rd anti-codon position. Lineage: Bacteria; Candidatus Berkelbacteria. The record is from RNAcentral.